CCACUUUAAGGACUAAAGUGGACUUUUGACCAUAAAAUUCCGAGGGAAGUUGUGUUUUACUCUAUUUUCUUAAGAUAAGAAAAUAAUGUCCAUAAAAUGAUUAUCGAUAAUCAUUAAAAUGAAAUAUUGGAUGAAAAAGUGCAAGUUAGCUCAAAAUGGAAAUUUGAGCGUUUUUGGCAAAAAUUGCCAAAAUAAAAUUAUUGAAAAAUGAAAUUAUAAGAUAUGAGAUUAAUAUUAUUUAUUUGGAAAUAAAUAAUAUGGAGUUAGUCGGACCUAUAAGAUUUAGUGUUCGACGGACUAAAUUGGACGAAAGAAAAGUUAUGGAUUAAGAAAUGAGGAGGUGGCAAAUUAAAGGGCUAAAAUGGAUAUAAGGCCACAACUUGAUGAGUAAGGGAUUAAGUGGCAUAAUUUCCAGAAAUAUCCAUAACUCAUUCAUUCAUUAGCAAAGAAUAAGAAGAAAGAAAGAAAAGAUGGAGAAGAAGAAAGAAAAGAGAAAAAUGGAGAGAUCAUGCCAAAAUCAAGUUUCGGAACUCGUUUCUCGACCAAAUUGAACGAUUUUGGUGGCUAUGGAUUCAGGACUCAAUCCUCUACUCAAGGUUCGGCAAGGAUUCCGGACAGCCAUGCCCUGCCCCUAGUAGGCAGAGGUAUAAAGGUCAUAGGGGCUGAGGGGGUAAGUCCUCAAUUGUCGAGAACGAAAGCAUUCGUCGUUGGUUAAACUCGACAAGUAACGGAUCGAGGUAAGAAUGUAGUUCGACGUUUUCGAAAUAAGUAUUGAUUGGACUUUGGUGUGAUUAAUGUUUAAGGUAUUUGGCCCUAGCAUAGUACAAAGAUUUAUGAUAUAAAUGCUAAAGUCUAAGGUUCCGUUAGUCUAUAAGUUACGAGAUAAAGUUUACGCAAACUAGUAGGACGUUUUGCAGAAAACUCUUCUGCAAAACAGCCCUGUUGCAAAGGCCGUAUCUCGAGUUAUAUAACUCCAAAUUAAGUUCCGUUUGUUGGUACGGAAACUUAAGGAUGUUAUCUAAAUAUGUCUAAGUAUAAGUUUUUGAUGAUUCGGAACCUAAGAUGUUCAUUUUGGACUGAAUAUUUUAUUAUGCAGUCUGCCCUGCACUUGUAAUCAGCUUUAAGGAAAUAACUUUGGAGCUAAUUUCCGACACCUUCGGGUGCUAAUCUCAGUCCGAGACCUAAACAAAUGUUUUAGGAGACAUUCUAAACUUUAAGAAUGUUAAGUUUGUUUAGAGGUCGGACUGUUUUAAAUGAGCGAUUUCGAUAGCCGAAGUUGGCUAGAAAUUAUGUUUUGGAUAUUUAGCAUAUAGUUAGAAUGUUAAUAAUUUAGGUUAUUAUCGAAUUUUUGUAGACUUGCCGAGGAAACUACUAACAGGACACGGAACGUGACGAACGAUAUUGCUUUGUUUGUUCUAGAAGAUUUUGGAUAGCAAGUGUGUUUCAUUUCAGGGUCAUAGUAAAGGAUGUGACGAACUUCUAUGUCCUUGUUCCAGAAGUUCGGAGUUUGUACAGAAUCAAUAGUGCUGCAGUAGUUGAGUAUUAGUAAGUUGUAACGGUGUGUCAAACGGUUUUGAUUGUAAAACGUAUACUCUGAUAUUUGUAAAAGGUUUUGAAACUGCGCUUUUAAACCGUUUGUUAAAGGUGGAACGGGCUGUGCUAGAUGUGAGACAUCGCAAUAUAAGACCCAGGUUCCUAUGUAAUGUUUUCAGGUUUUGAAACAGACGUUUGUAUACGUCAAGAAUGGAAAGGUUUUCAUGAAAAUGAUUUUGUAUAUGAUUAUGAUUUUUUUUUAUCAA
Long non-coding RNA from Mercurialis annua (annual mercury), 1799 nucleotides. RefSeq lists it as uncharacterized. The transcript is spliced from 3 exons. The record is from RefSeq and is a predicted model, not a curated record. NCBI's taxonomy places the organism in Eukaryota, Viridiplantae, Streptophyta, Magnoliopsida, Malpighiales, Euphorbiaceae.